This 492-nucleotide ribosomal RNA is filed under the name uncultured bacterium. RNAcentral describes it as "partial 16S ribosomal RNA". It matches the Rfam family "Bacterial small subunit ribosomal RNA", at positions 29 to 507 of the family's 1533-position model. The record is from RNAcentral.
AGUGAACGCUGGCGGUAGGCCUAACACAUGCAAGUCGAACGGCAGCACAGUAAGAGCUUGCUCUUACGGGUGGCGAGUGGCGGACGGGUGAGGAAUACAUCGGAAUCUACUUUUUCGUGGGGGAUAACGUAGGGAAACUUACGCUAAUACAGCAUACGCCCUACGGGUGAAAGCAGGGGAUCUUAGGACCUUGCGCGAUUGAAUGAGCCGAUGGCGGAUUAGCUAGUUGGCGGGGUAAAGGCCCACCAAGGCGACGAUCCGUAGCUAAACUGAGAGGAUGAUCAGCCACAAUCGAUCUGAGACAGCGUCCAUACUCCUACGAGAGGCAUCAGUGGGGCAUAUUAGACAAUGGGCGGAAACCUGAUCCAGCCAUACCGCGUCGUAGAAGACAGCCUCCGGGGUGUAAUGCCCUUUUGUUGGGAAAGAAAAGCAGCAGGUUAAUACCCCGCUGUUCUGACGGUACCGAAAGAAUAAGCACCGGCUAACUUCGUG